UACGGAGGGUGCUAGCGUUGUUCGGAAUCACUGGGCGUAAAGGGCGCGUAGGCGGCUGUUCAAGUCGGGGGUGAAAGCCUGUGGCUCAACCACAGAAUUGCCUUCGAUACUGGACGGCUGGAGACCGGAAGAGGUCAGUGGAACUGCGAGUGUAGAGGUGAAAUUCGUAGAUAUUCGCAAGAACACCAGUGGCGAAGGCGGCUGACUGGUCCGGUUCUGACGCUGAGGCGCGAAAGCGUGGGGAGCAAACAGG
Molecule: ribosomal RNA, 253 nt
Filed under: uncultured bacterium
Lineage: Bacteria
Description: partial 16S ribosomal RNA
Rfam family: Bacterial small subunit ribosomal RNA
Source: RNAcentral